This 751-nucleotide ribosomal RNA is filed under the name uncultured Pseudomonadota bacterium. RNAcentral's name for it is "bacterial SSU rRNA". It matches the Rfam family "Bacterial small subunit ribosomal RNA", at positions 1 to 721 of the family's 1533-position model. The record is from RNAcentral. Lineage: Bacteria; Pseudomonadati; Pseudomonadota.
CUCUAGAGAUUAGUUUGAUCCUGGCUCAGAAUGAACGCUGGCGGCGUGCUUAACACAUGCAAGUUGAACGAGAAAUCUUUGAGCUUGCUCGAAGAGAGUAAAGUGGCGAACGGGUGAGUAACGCGUGGGUAAUUUACCUUCGAAUCGGGGAUAACGUGCCGAAAGGCGUGCUAAUACCGGAUGACAUCAUCUUGGCUUUGGUUGAGAUGAUUAAAGGUGGCCUCUUGAAAAAGCUACCGCUUGGAGAUAAGCCCGCGUACCAUUAGCUAGUUGGUAGGGUAAAGGCCUACCAAGGCGACGAUGGUUAGCUGGUCUGAGAGGAUGAUCAGCCACACUGGAACUGACACACGGUCCAGACUCCUACGGGAGGCAGCAGUGAGGAAUUUUGCGCAAUGGGGGAAACCCUGACGCAGCAACGCCGCGUGAGUGAUGAAGGCCUUCGGGUUGUAAAGCUCUGUCGGGUGGGAAGAAAGUGAAUGGAUCCAACAGGUUUGUUUAUUGACGGUACCAUCAGAGGAAGCACCGGCUAACUCCGUGCCAGCAGCCGCGGUAAUACGGAGGGUGCGAGCGUUAUUCGGAAUUAUUGGGCGUAAAGGGCGCGCAGGCGGCCGAAUAAGUCAGUUGUGAAAGUCCGGGGCUUAACCCCGGAAGUGCGAUUGAAACUAUUUGGCUUGAGUAUGGGAGAGGGAAGUGGAAUUCCUGGUGUAGAGGUGAAAUUCGUAGAUAUCAGGAGGAACACCGGUGGCGAAGG